AUGAACUACACUUGCUUCUGCCAGCACUUCUUUUUCGCUCUGCCUCCCUUCCUUUCCCCACCUUCUUCUUUCUGUCUUCAAUCUGCACUCCAUUGUCCUCCUCUUACUUAUCUCCAGUCAACCCUGCUCACACUUCUUACACUGAAAUGGAAGGAGGGCUUGUGUGGGAAGUUCUUGGUGCACCUGUGCAUGAAGGCAAGGCCUGGCAGGUGUGGCAGUAGCCAGCACCGUGUGGCAGCUGCCCACAUGCUCCUCUGUUCCAGCGCCUUGUCUGUGGUUGUUCUGUGGCCAAGGAAUAGGAACAGCAGAGCACAAGCCUGUGCUUGCUCUGGUAAAGUGUUCAGUGGAUCCCUAAGACCUUCAUGUAGAGUGGUGUCUGGGGCAGGAUCCACCUGCCUUCCAGCAGUUUAUCCACAUAAUACCAUUCAGCUUUACGAAAAACAUUCUAGAGUUACUAUAUAUGUUCACAAGCUCUGCAGCAGACAGAGAUUUCCUAGAGGUUACAGUGUUCUGUUCAUCUGUGAUUCUGGUGAUGGUAUAGUGGGUCACCUCAUGAACUUCAUCGAUUACACCAAAUUAGGAGGAAUUCUUGAUACCCCACAGUGCUGCGCAGCCCCUCAGAUGGUCCUUGACAGAUGUGUGGAAUGCACAGAAAGGAGCAUCCUGAAAAUCAGCAAAGGCAAGUGCAGGAUUUUACGUGAGUGGAAAAAUAACCUGCUGUACCGGCACAGACUGGGGGCUGACCUGCUGGGGAGCAGCACUUCAGAGAAGGACCUGGGGGUCCUGUUGGACAAGAAGUUCCCCAUGGUCCAGCAAUGUGUCCUGGGGGCCAAGAAGCCAGAGGUGUGCUGGGAUGCAUCAGGAAGGGCAUUGCCCGCAGGGCAAGGGAGGUGGAUCCAGGUUAUUCACUGCACAAGUACAAGAGGCCAAGGGCAGAAAAUGAUGCACAAGAUGUUCCACCUGAAUCUAAGGUCAGAGCUUUGCACUGUGAUAGACUGUUUCCCUGGAACAAACAGCCAAAGAAAUUGUAGAGUCUCUUGGGAGAUAUCCCAGAACCAUCUGGAUACAAUUGUGUGCCACAUGAUCUGGGAUAAUUCUGCUUGA
Molecule: long non-coding RNA, 1104 nt
Filed under: Zonotrichia albicollis (white-throated sparrow)
Lineage: Eukaryota; Metazoa; Chordata; Aves; Passeriformes; Passerellidae
Description: lncRNA (ENSZALG00000001349.1)
Source: RNAcentral